AGAGCAUUACAGUUCCCAACAGAAGGCUGGCUGCGUAUGAGUAUAGGCAACUGUGGUAUCACUUGGCUGACUAUCAAACCGAAUGGUCGUGUCAGCUUACGAAGCAUGAGCGACACAGGUCAUUUACAUCCACAUCUCAUCACGCGAAAUUGAUAGUUUGAUAAAUAAUGAAAUUAGCUUUAUUUUCAUAAUUGAUGGUGGUCCGAACUGGAACGUUUUGGCUCUGGAGGAGAUUAAUUUCCUGCGCAAAACUUCUACCAAUUAUGAAAAUCUGCGCAAGUAAUUUCUGGGGAAUUUGCGCAAAAUUGCGCAAAAUGCUUUUGUGAACCAAGAACUAAGCAGAUUUCUGAUCUUCCUAUAUUCGACAAAAACACUUUCUGACUGCAAGAACGCCGGUUUGCCAUAAUUGUUUGUGGAAAAUGUCCAUUAUAUAUUGCGUAUUUUUCCAAGGAAAAAUCUUUCCUUCGCAAAAAAAAAUUUCAGUCUGGCUGGUUGUUAACUUUAGACAUGGAGAAAAUUUUUGGUAUUAAGAAUAUUAAAUCAGAUCUCUAAAUUCUAUUUAGUUUGCUUCAAAUUUUACUUCUAGACUGGUCUACUUCAUUAAUUUCACAUAAUGAAAAAUUAACAUCAUCUUUUCACGCUUAUAACCACCAUCUUCAGAUCAUGCUUAGUGAGAUUCAUCUAGAUAUGUUUGCACUACUAAGCCAAGAAAACUUGGUAAUUUGUUAAAUUGGUCGCACGAAUUUACUAAUAUUUUGCAUAUUUAUUUCAAGCCGGGGGCGAUGUACUUCGCUCGCACGAAUCUCGAAUUAUUGUAUUUUAUAUUCAUAGUACCAACCCAAGACCGCUGUAAAUUGUCACAUGAAAUUAAAAAUGUAUCAAAUGCUUUCUGGACUUCUUUGUCAAAUUAUCUUCUACAGGGUGUAAUAAAAAAACGAGACGUUUGAAUGAAU
Non-coding RNA from Paramuricea clavata, 953 nucleotides. The record is from the annotation of a GenBank genome assembly. NCBI's taxonomy places the organism in Eukaryota, Metazoa, Cnidaria, Anthozoa, Malacalcyonacea, Plexauridae.